Molecule: non-coding RNA, 133 nt
Organism: Triticum aestivum (bread wheat)
Lineage: Eukaryota; Viridiplantae; Streptophyta; Magnoliopsida; Poales; Poaceae
Source: Rfam
GAUAUACUUCCUUCGUACGAAAAUACUUGUCAUCAAAAUGAAUAAAAGAGAACGAUCUAGAUGUAUUGUAGUUGUAGAUACAUCAUUUUUAUCCAUUUUAAUGAUAAGUAUUUUCGGACGAAGGAAGUAUAAU